Helianthus annuus (common sunflower) is the source of this 539-nucleotide long non-coding RNA. RefSeq lists it as uncharacterized. The record is from RefSeq and is a predicted model, not a curated record. The transcript has 2 exons. Lineage: Eukaryota; Viridiplantae; Streptophyta; Magnoliopsida; Asterales; Asteraceae.
UUAGUUUCCCAGCUAUACACCCCCCAACAAUUUCAUUUCCCUCCUUUCCCAAAUUGAUUUACCCAAACUAUUUCAAUUUCCCGCUCCCCCAGAUCGACCCUUCACUAAAAAAAUUCAUUCUCCCGCUAUCCCUGUCCCCAAGCCCUAGUCGUUUUCACCUUGUUGCUCAAUUUAAACUCAAAACCAAGAUUGAGGAGAUAAUCAAUUAAAUUGUCUCACAUUCUCUUUCUAAAUCUGUUGUUUUUCGAUUCAAAAUCUAAUCCAAUCAAUCUUUUGCUUCCUUCGAUUACAGAUUUUGUUGUGGUGAGAGGAUGAACAAUCAUAGUAGAAGCAACAGGAACGCAGGCACUGGUCCACCCACUCAAUCGGUCCUUAAAAGGUUAAUCGCAGACUAUCUCAAAAUCAAGCUAGGAAGUCUAGAAACUCACAAUGAAUCUAGGUUGUCGGAUUUGUAUUGUUUGAGAGAACAUGAAUCUGUAUAACUGUUUGCUGAUAUUUAUUAGUAUGGGAUAAUAAACGUAUUAAAUAUUGUCACUAAA